Spinacia oleracea (spinach) is the source of this 643-nucleotide long non-coding RNA. RefSeq lists it as uncharacterized. Lineage: Eukaryota; Viridiplantae; Streptophyta; Magnoliopsida; Caryophyllales; Amaranthaceae. The transcript is spliced from 3 exons. The record is from RefSeq and is a predicted model, not a curated record.
CCUUUAGGGUCUGAUAUCCCAGUUUUUACUUUCUAGGGUUUUGAUUUUGGACUCUGAACUCACAUUCCAGCCGCACAGCUCUCCUUUCUCACAGUCUCACACUCUCAUCCCCUCUCUGCUCUCUGGCUCUCUCCUUCUCAUUGCCGCACGGCACGCACCAUGCAAGUCAGCAACAACGUUCCUCCUCCAGUUCACCACCAGACCCACCGCACCAAGUCAUCACUUCACCUGCGUUGCCACCGCUCCGGCGCACUGCUCCACGCCUCCACCAAAUCGAUUCAAGCUCUCAAGAGUUCAAGCCUUCAAGACUCAAGAGUUCAAGCCUUAAAGAGUUCACGCAUUCAAUAAUUUGAUUUCAAUAAGCCUCCACCAAGGAGUUGAUUUCUAGUAAGUUGUGAUUCGCACAGUGGCCACCGUACUUAGGUAUUCCAGAAUAAUAUAGCAGGUUGGUAGAUCGAAAUCAUGUGGCUUGGGAUGAUCGAGAGAGUUGCAUGCUUUCGUAUUUUGAACUAUUUAUUUAUACUUUAAUUAUGUUUGAAAUCGUUGAACUUUUAAUACUCUGGUUUUUGGGCCGUCAUGGUUCCAAAUUGUAGGAGGCCUCGAUAUUUCAUUUAUUACGUUUUCAAAAGUUAGUUGACAUUAA